Phrynosoma platyrhinos (Desert horned lizard) is the source of this 69-nucleotide non-coding RNA. Lineage: Eukaryota; Metazoa; Chordata; Lepidosauria; Squamata; Phrynosomatidae. The record is from the annotation of a GenBank genome assembly.
GAAAACGUAUGUGUAGUGGUUUGAAUGACAGACUAUGACUCUGGAGACCAGGGUUCAAUUCCCUGCUCA